AUACGUAGGGGGCGAGCGUUGUCCGGAAUGAUUGGGCGUAAAGGGCGCGUAGGCGGCCCGGUAAGUCUGGAGUGAAAGUCCUGUUUUUAAGAUGGGAAUUGCUUUGGAUACUGUCGGGCUUGAGUGCAGGAGAGGUAAGUGGAAUUCCCAGUGUAGCGGUGAAAUGCGUAGAGAUUGGGAGGAACACCAGUGGCGAAGGCGACUUACUGGACUGUAACUGACGCUGAGGCGCGAAAGUGUGGGGAGCAAACAGGAUUAGAUACCCUGGUAGUCCACACUGUAAACGAUGAAUGCUAGGUGUAGGGGGUAUCGACCCCUUCUGUGCCGCAGUCAACACAAUAAGCAUUCCGCCUGGGGAGUACGGCCGCAAGGUCGAAACUCAAAGGAAUUGACGGGG
Molecule: ribosomal RNA, 397 nt
Filed under: uncultured bacterium
Lineage: Bacteria
Description: partial 16S ribosomal RNA
Rfam family: Bacterial small subunit ribosomal RNA
Source: RNAcentral